CAAUUGUAGAGUAAUCUGCUCUUUCGGUCCAUAAUACCGACCGGUACUUCUUCAUAGGACAGAUCCUGCUGUAGUGGAAGAGGCUCAUGAACCAAGAUGUGAGAGGGUUCCGGGUUGUAAUUGCGUAAUAUGGAUACAUGAAAGACAUUAUAGACCCUGAAAAGUUCUGGAGGCAGUGUCAGUCUGUAGGUGGUGGUACCAAUUUUGCCUAAGAUCUCGAAUGG
This 224-nucleotide long non-coding RNA is filed under the name Carica papaya (papaya). RNAcentral's name for it is "long non-coding RNA (CPAP_LNC005163)". The record is from RNAcentral. Lineage: Eukaryota; Viridiplantae; Streptophyta; Magnoliopsida; Brassicales; Caricaceae.